AUGCUCUCUCCAUCGGCCAUCUGCAGGACGCUCCUGAAUGGCCCUCCCUGCAGGGCGCCUGCAGCAGACCCCGGGUGGCCCUCUGGGCUGUCUCCAGGCAGUUUCUGGUGUCACAGGCCACAGUGCCAGAGAGGGCAGCUCAGUCCACGCUCCCCUCCCCUCCCCCGUGCCCCAAACCUCAGGGACACAGUCCUUGUGGCCUGCCGUGCUGAGCCACCAAGAAGUUUUAAAGUACAUCAGGAGAUGUGGCCUUUGAAAAGGUUUGUUACUCACGAGACAAGGGACAGGCCACUCCACACAGGCCAUGGGGAGGCCAGUGGGCAGAGCCCACCAGGGCAGUGGGCGGGAAGGAUUGCUGCUUUCUUCAGGAGGGGACCUGUGGGUCAGGCUUGGGAUCAGCUAGUUAGAAUAGUGUCAGUGGCUCGGCCACAGGCUGUCCAGGUCCACCCCUGUCCUGGGGUGGUAGGCACAGAGGCUCAGGGUGAGAGCCCAGCAGGAGGGCCUGGGCGCGGGCUCCGUGUGUGCUGAUCUGUACAGAAGCCAGUCACAGGCCAGGGGUUUUCGUCUCUAGGAACGAGCUAGUCCCCGGAGGGGUCCCUCUGGGCUGAGAAAAGAACCAAACACUAAAGAGACGUGUGGAGCCCCAAGCCCUUCUGCUGGCCCUGGUCAGGAGGGAGCUGCUCAGUGGGGAGGUGAGGACUUGAAGGCAGGAGCCUGAAGUUCAUUUUCAGGAACAGAAGCAGCAGGGAGCGUGAGGCAACCGGGCCCAGCCCGGAAACUUGGCAGGAAACAGGUGUGCUCCGGCAGGUGAGACCAAAACGGAACUGUCACAUUUACAGCAUGAGAGGCGCGUAGGGAUUGCACCUACCAAGGAAGAGCCGGGAAGCCCUCCAACCCUGCAGUGGCCUCUGGGCAGCGCCCCGGUGCACCUCACCUGGGCCGUGGGAAGAGGAGCAUCCAGGCACCUUGAGCCUUGUUUUCUGUCCUUCUUCUUUCUUGUUCUCAAUUCCUACUGGCUGAAGAGUGUGAGGGAAUCCUUACGUUAUUAAAAACAAAACAAAACAAAACAAAAAAAAUCAUGCUUAGAAAUGUGGGCAGAAAGAGGCAGCAGUCCAGAGCCCGUUAGUGCAGGCCUGACAGGAACCCCUGGGCCCCACAGUGAUCCACCCUGCAGGGAAAUCUUUUCGAGGAGGGCGCCGUGCCAGACCUGGCUUCCACUUGGAUACCUGCCUCCACAGAUGUUGGUAGCAGUCCUCCCUCCUCGGAGGUUGGAAUCGGUAGAUUGGUACCUGGGAAGGGGCCAGGUGGUUAGAGGUGGUCAGAACCGGAACACUAACACUAUUGAUCAUUUUAAAGAGAUAAUUCAACGACAGCAUCGUCCCGACCCAGUGCCACCCCCACCUCUCCUCUACCAGAGGAUGUCUGUGCCCUAGGGCAGCUGCCCCGGCUGCUGUCCCUACGGGCAGCGCCGAUCUGCUUCCUGCACCUGGGGAUUGGCUUCCUCGGGGUAUUUCCCUCCGGGGAUCACGGAGUCCCUGGCCCCUUGUGUGCCUCCUUCAGGGCAGCAGAGGCUCCUCCACAGUGGGGGCGUCCGCUCCGUCCCAGCUGGGUGGUGAUCCCACACACGGAGGACUGGCUCCAUCUCUUCCAUCUUCUUACUACCAGCCACCCUGCUGCUGCCCCAAAUCGCUACACCCGCCCGCUAUUCCUGAGAAGGGGCAUACGGGACACUGGAGUGGGCGGGCCAGGGGCGGAGUGGAGUGUCCCCCCCCAGUGAGGCCAUGGAGUCCUGCACAGCCCCUGGUCAGGCUUCAGCUUCCUUAGCAGUAAAGGAGUCUCCGAUUCACUUUGUAAAGUUGUUUCUAAAUUUAAAUAAUUGACAUCGAGGUGAACUAUUUGUAACAUAGAACUUGCUGCUGUGACCAUCUC
RNAcentral lists this long non-coding RNA (1929 nucleotides) under Ictidomys tridecemlineatus (thirteen-lined ground squirrel). RNAcentral describes it as "lncRNA (ENSSTOG00000031142.1)". Lineage: Eukaryota; Metazoa; Chordata; Mammalia; Rodentia; Sciuridae. The record is from RNAcentral.